RNAcentral lists this ribosomal RNA (397 nucleotides) under uncultured bacterium. RNAcentral's name for it is "bacterial SSU rRNA". It matches the Rfam family "Bacterial small subunit ribosomal RNA", at positions 355 to 769 of the family's 1533-position model. The record is from RNAcentral.
UAGGGAAUAUUAGAAAUGGACGAAAGUCUGAUCUAGCGACACCGCGUGUGCGAAGAAGGCCUUCGGGUUGUAAAGCACUUUUUGGAAGGAAUAGGAAGGAAGGUACUUCCAGAAUAAGUCUCGGCUAACUACGUGCCAGCAGCCGCGGUAACACGUAGGAGGCGAACGUUAUCCGGAUUUACUGGGCGUAAAGCGCGUGUAGGUGGUUUUGUAAGUAGGGCGUGAAAGCUCCUGGCUCAACUAGGAGAGGCCGUUCUAAACUGCAGAGCUAGAGGAUGGUAGAGGGAGGUGGAAUUCCAGGUGUAGCGGUGGAAUGCGCAGAUAUCUGGAGGAACACCAGUGGCGAAGGCGGCCUCCUGGACCAUUCCUGACACUCAGACGCGAAAGCUAGGGUAGC